ACCCAACUGCUAUCGGGAUGGGAUUAAGCCAUGCGAGUCAGCGCUUCUAGCUAUGGUGAGGCGCGGCGUACGGCUCUGUAACACGUAGCUAACCUACCCUCCGGACGGAGAUAACCUUGGGAAACUGGGGUUAAUAUCAGAUAGAUGAAGAUGCCUGGAAUGGUUUUUCAUCUAAAAGAGUAUGGUGCCAUGCAUCCACACUCGCCGGAGGAUGGGGCUGCGGCCGAUCAGGUUGCUGGUGGGGUAAUGGCCCACCAGGCCUAUAACCGGUACGGGCCGUGAGAGCGGGAGCCCGGAGAUGGGCACUGAGAUAAGGGCCCAGGUCCUACGGGGCGCAGCAGGCGCGGAAACUCCGCAAUGCGCGAAAGCGUGACGGGGCCACCCCGAGUGCCAUCCGAUGAGGAUGGCUUUUCCUUGGUAUAACUAGCCAGGGGAAUAAGGGGAGGGCAAGCCUGGUGUCAGCCGCCGCGGUAAUACCAGCUCCCCGAGUGGUUGGGAUGUUUAUUGGGUCUAAAGCACUCGUAGCCCGCCGAAAAAGUUCUCCGUUAAAUUCGGCGAUUCAAUCGUCGGCGUGCGGGGAAAACUUUUCGGAUUGGGGGCGGAGGAAGUCGGCGGUAUUUCUGGGGUAGGGGCGAAAUCCUAUAAUCCCAGGAGGACCACCAGUGGCGAAGGCGGCCGACUAAAACGCGCCCGACGGUGAGGGGUGAAAGCUGGGGGAGCGAACGGGAUUAGAUACCCCGGUAGUCCCAGCUGUAAACAAUGCAGGCUAGGUGUUGGAACAGCUUCGAGCAGUUCCAGUGCCGCAGGGAAGCCGUUAAGACUGCCACCUGGGAAGUACGGCCGCAAGGCUGAAAUCUUAAGAAAUAAGAGCUAAAAAUCUGUUUAUAUCUUAAGACAGCAAACUUAAAGGAAUUGGCGGGGGAGCACCACAAGGGGUGAAGCCUGCGGUUUAAUUGGAGUCAACCCCGGGAAACUUACCAGGGGCGACAGCGGGAUGAAAGCCAGAUUAAAGGUCUUGCUGGACUAGUUGAGAGGAGGUGCAUGGCCGUCGCCAGUUCGUGCCGUGAGGUGUUCUCUUAAGUGAGACAACGAACGAGACCCGCGCUUCUAGUUGCAACCGGAUCACACCAGUGAUACGGGCACACUAAAAGGACUGCCUCCGCUAAGGGGGAGGAAGGAGCGGGCAACGGCAGGUCAGUAUGCCCCGAAUCCCCUGGGCUACACGCGGGCUGCAAUGACUGGGACAAUGGGCUCCAACCCCGAAAGGGGAAGGCAAUCCCGAAACCCAGCCUCAGUUUGGAUCGAGGGCUGUAACUCGCCCUCGUGAAAAUGGAAUCCCUAGUAAUCGCGUGUCAACAUCGCGCGGUGAAUACGUCCCUGCUCCUUGC
This 1388-nucleotide ribosomal RNA is filed under the name uncultured archaeon. RNAcentral's name for it is "bacterial SSU rRNA". It matches the Rfam family "Archaeal small subunit ribosomal RNA", at positions 21 to 1340 of the family's 1478-position model. The record is from RNAcentral.